RNAcentral lists this ribosomal RNA (424 nucleotides) under Wolbachia endosymbiont of Culex pipiens pipiens. RNAcentral describes it as "bacterial SSU rRNA". It matches the Rfam family "Bacterial small subunit ribosomal RNA", at positions 1005 to 1427 of the family's 1533-position model. The record is from RNAcentral. Lineage: Bacteria; Pseudomonadati; Pseudomonadota; Alphaproteobacteria; Rickettsiales; Anaplasmataceae.
AGGGAUAGGGUCGGUUCGGCCGGAUUUUACACAAGUGUUGCAUGGCUGUCGUCAGCUCGUGUCGUGAGAUGUUGGGUUAAGUCCCGCAACGAGCGCAACCCUCAUCCUUAGUUGCCAUCAGGUAAUGCUGAGUACUUUAAGGAAACUGCCAGUGAUAAGCUGGAGGAAGGUGGGGAUGAUGUCAAGUCAUCAUGGCCUUUAUGGAGUGGGCUACACACGUGCUACAAUGGUGUCUACAAUGGGCUGCAAGGUGCGCAAGCCUAAGCUAAUCCCUAAAAGACAUCUCAGUUCGGAUUGUACUCUGCAACUCGAGUACAUGAAGUUGGAAUCGCUAGUAAUCGUGGAUCAGCAUGCCACGGUGAAUACGUUCUCGGGUCUUGUACACACUGCCCGUCACGCCAUGGGAAUUGGUUCCCUUCGAAGC